RNAcentral lists this non-coding RNA (24 nucleotides) under Cricetulus griseus (Chinese hamster). The record is from RNAcentral. Lineage: Eukaryota; Metazoa; Chordata; Mammalia; Rodentia; Cricetidae.
UAGUAGUAAAUUAAGAAUAGAGAG